CUUGCAGCCUCACAACUAUCCCAGGACACACAAUCUCAACUGCACCAUAUCCGGGAGGAACAAGAGCGACUCCUACUGGCCCAGCUGGGAGAGCUGGACCCAGAGACUGUGGAAAGAAUUGAAAAUACAAAGCAAAUUUUCCAGGAAAUACCCUGUGCCAGUGAGCUGAUCAGUGAGAUGGAGGGGACUGCUCAACAGCCAGUGAGUGAAUUCCUGCAGGGAAGGGAAAUUCAUGAACUUGUUCGGGUCCAUGUUCCAGGAGAAUUUGCCGCACACUGUCAUCACAUCUGAGCCGUGAAGCUGGGUCCCCAUAUUGUAACUUGUUUGUAACUUCCUCAUCCUUUCUUCCUUCUACUUCAUUUACUUCAAU
This is a long non-coding RNA of Emys orbicularis (European pond turtle), 370 nucleotides long. RefSeq lists it as uncharacterized. Lineage: Eukaryota; Metazoa; Chordata; Testudines; Emydidae. The transcript is spliced from 3 exons. The record is from RefSeq and is a predicted model, not a curated record.